Molecule: ribosomal RNA, 2272 nt
Filed under: human gut metagenome
Description: bacterial LSU rRNA
Rfam family: Bacterial large subunit ribosomal RNA
Source: RNAcentral
UCAAGCGACUAAGUGUAUGUGGUGGAUGCCUUGGCGAUCACAGGCGAUGAAGGACGUGACAGCCUGCGAAAAGCUGUGGGGAGCUGGCAAAUAAGCUUUGAUCCACAGAUGUCCGAAUGAGGGAACUCACCUGCUUUGCAGGUAUCCCAUCCUGAAUAUAUAGGGAUGGGAGGCGAACGAAGCGAACUGAAACAUCUAAGUAGCUUCAGGAAAAGAAAUCAACCGAGAUUCCGAAAGUAGCGGCGAGCGAAAUCGGAUCAGCCCAGCACUCGAUAGCAGCCAACUUACGGGAACGGUCUGGAAAGUCCGGCCAUAGAGGGUGAUAGCCCCUUACUGGAAAAGGCAGCUGUGGUACUAAGUGUGCGAUAAGUAGAGCGGGACACGUGACAUCCUGCUCGAAGAUGGGGGGACCAUCCUCCAAGGCUAAAUACUCAUGAUCGACCGAUAGCGAACCAGUACUGUGAAGGAAAGGUGAAAAGAACCCCGGGAGGGGAGUGAAAUAGAUCCUGAAACCGCAUACAUACAAACAGUAGGAGCCUCGUUAAGGGGUGACUGCGUACCUUUUGCAUAAUGGGUCAGCGACUUACGUUUAAUGGCGAGCUUAACCGUAUAGGGGAGGCGCAGCGAAAGCGAGUUCGAACAGAGCGUUCAGUCGUUAGGCGUAGACCCGAAACCAGAUGAUCUAUCCAUGGCCAGGUUGAAGGUGUGGUAACACACACUGGAGGACCGAACCGACUAGUGUUGCAAAAUUAGCGGAUGAGCUGUGGAUAGGGGUGAAAGGCUAAACAAAUCUGGAGAUAGCUGGUUCUCCCCGAAAACUAUUGAGGUAGUGCCUCGUGUAUGACUCCAGGGGGUAGAGCACUGUUAUGGCUAGGGGGACAUGGCGUCUUACCAAACCAUGGCAAACUCCGAAUACUUGGAAGUUUGAGCACGGGAGACAGAGCACCGGGUGCUAACGUCCGGACUCAAGAGGGAAACAACCCAGACCGCCGGCUAAGGUCCCUAAUAUUGACUAAGUGGAAAACGAAGUGGAAAGGCUAAGACAGUCAGGAAGUUGGCUUAGAAGCAGCCAUCCUUCAAAGAAAGCGUAAUAGCUCACUGAUCGAGUCUUUCUGCGCGGAAGAUGUAACGGGGCUAAGUCAAUAACCGAAGCCGCGGAUUCACACUUAUGUGUGAGUGGUAGGGGAGCGUUCUGUAAGCCUGCGAAGGUGACUCGUAAGGGUUGCUGGAGGUAUCAGAAGUGCGAAUGCUGACAUGAGUAACGUUAAAGCGGGUGAAAAGCCCGCUCGCCGUAAGCCCAAGGUUUCCUGCUCUACGUUCAUCGGAGCAGGGUGAGUCGGCCCCUAAGGUGAGGCUGAGAAGCGUAACUGAUGGGAACAAGGUUAAUAUUCCUUGACCACCGCUGAAUGCGAAGGGGGGACGGAGUAUUGAAGAUCAUCCGGGUGUUGGAUAUCCCGGUUUGCGAGCGUAGGAGGCUGACAGGCAAAUCCGUCAGCGAAUCUCCGAGGCAAAGCAUCGAGCUCUCUUUUGAGCGAAGUGAUUGGAUGUGCUUCCAGGAAAAGCCUCUAAGCUCCAGUUCAGCGGGACCGUACCGCAAACCGACACUGGUGGGCGAGCUGAAUAUGCUCAGGCGCUUGAGAGAACUCAGGAGAAGGAACUCGGCAAAUUGACACCGUAACUUCGGGAUAAGGUGUGCCUUUGUAGCGUGGAGGGAGAAACACCCCGAGCGCGAAGAGGUCUCAGAUAAUCGGUGGCUGCGACUGUUUAUUAAAAACACAGCACUCUGCAAAGACGAAAGUCGACGUAUAGGGUGUGAUGCCUGCCCGGUGCUGGAAGAUUAAUUGAUGGGGUGCAAGCUCCUGAUCGAAGUCCCAGUAAACGGCGGCCGUAACUAUAACGGUCCUAAGGUAGCGAAAUUCCUUGUCGGGUAAGUUCCGACCUGCACGAAUGGCAUAAUGAUGGCCACACUGUCUCCUCCUGAGACUCAGUGAAGUUGAAAUGUUUGUGAUGAUGCAAUCUCCCCGCGGCUAGACGGAAAGACCCCAUGAACCUUUACUGCAGCUUUGCAUUGGACUUUGAACCGAUCUGUGUAGGAUAGGUGGGAGGCAGUGAAGCUAGGACGCCAGUCUUAGCGGAGCCAACCUUGAAAUACCACCCUGAUUUGUUUGAGGUUCUAACCUAGGAGCGUGAUCCGCUUCGGGGACCGUGCAUGGUAGGCAGUUUGACUGGGGCGGUCUCCUCCUAAAGGGUAACGGAGGAGUGCGAAGGUACG